AUUGAACGCUGGCGGCAGGCCUAACACAUGCAAGUCGAGCGGAUGAAGGGAGCUUGCUCCUGGAAUCAGCGGCGGACGGGUGAGUAAUGCCUAGGAAUCUGCCUGGUAGUGGGGGAUAACGUCCGGAAACGGGCGCUAAUACCGCAUACGUCCUGAGGGAGAAAGUGGGGGAUCUUCGGACCUCACGCUAUCAGAUGAGCCUAGGUCGGAUUAGCUAGUUGGUGGGGUAAAGGCCUACCAAGGCGACGAUCCGUAACUGGUCUGAGAGGAUGAUCAGUCACACUGGAACUGAGGCACGGUCCAGACUCCUACGGGAGGCAGCAGUGGGGAAUAUUGGACAAUGGGCGAAAGCCUGAUCCAGCCAUGCCGCGUGUGUGAAGAAGGUCUUCGGAUUGUAAAGCACUUUAAGUUGGGAGGAAGGGCAGUAAGUUAAUACCUUGCUGUUUUGACGUUACCAACAGAAUAAGCACCGGCUAACUUCGUG
This 484-nucleotide ribosomal RNA is filed under the name uncultured bacterium. RNAcentral's name for it is "partial 16S ribosomal RNA". It matches the Rfam family "Bacterial small subunit ribosomal RNA", at positions 30 to 507 of the family's 1533-position model. The record is from RNAcentral.